Molecule: ribosomal RNA, 484 nt
Filed under: uncultured bacterium
Lineage: Bacteria
Description: partial 16S ribosomal RNA
Rfam family: Bacterial small subunit ribosomal RNA
Source: RNAcentral
AUUGAACGCUGGCGGCAGGCCUAACACAUGCAAGUCGAGCGGAUGAAGGGAGCUUGCUCCUGGAUUCAGCGGCGGACGGGUGAGUAAUGCCUAGGAAUCUGCCUGGUAGUGGGGGAUAACGUCCGGAAACGGGCGCUAAUACCGCAUACGUCCUGAGGGAGAAAGUGGGGGAUCUUCGGACCUCACGCUAUCAGAUGAGCCUAGGUCGGAUUAGCUAGUUGGUGGGGUAAAGGCCUACCAAGGCGACGAUCCGUAACUGGUCUGAGAGGAUGAUCAGUCACACUGGAACUGAGACACGGUCCAGACUCCUACGGGAGGCAGCAGUGGGGAAUAUUGGACUAUGGGCGAAAGCCUGAUCCAGCCAUGCCGCGUGUGUGAAGAAGGUCUUCGGAUUGUAAAGCACUUUAAGUUGGGAGGAAGGGCAGUAAGUUAAUACCUUGCUGUUUUGACGUUACCAACAGAAUAAGCACCGGCUAACUUCGUA